Molecule: ribosomal RNA, 456 nt
Filed under: uncultured bacterium
Lineage: Bacteria
Description: bacterial SSU rRNA
Rfam family: Bacterial small subunit ribosomal RNA
Source: RNAcentral
UACGGAAGGCAGCAGUGGGGAAUAUUGCACAAUGGGCGAAAGCCUGAUGCAGCUAUGCCGCGUGUAUGAAGAAGGCCUUAGGGUUGUAAAGUACUUUCAUCGGGGAGGGAAAAACAAAACUAAUAAUUUUAUUUCUUGACGUUACCCGAAAAAGAAGCACCGGCUAACUCCGUGCCAGCAGCCGCGGUAAUACGGAGGGUGCUAGCGUUAAUCAGAAUUACUGGGCGUAAAGAGCACGUAGGUGGUUUUUUUAAGUCAGAUGUGAAUCCCUGGGCUUAACCUAGGAACUGCAUUUUGAAACUGAAAUACUAGAGUAUCGUAGAGGGAGGUAGAAUUCUAGGUGUAGCGGUGAAAUGCGUAGAUAUCUGGAGGAAUACCUGUGGCGAAAGCGGCCUCCUAAACGAAUACUGACACUGAGGUGCGAAAGCGUGGGGAGCGAAACAGGGAUUAGAUACC